ACUCCCUUAGUAUAAUUAAUAUAACUGACUUCCAAUCAGUAGAUUCCGAAAUUCACGGAAGAGAGUA
This 67-nucleotide transfer RNA is filed under the name Montemys delectorum (delectable soft-furred mouse). Its description in RNAcentral is "tRNA-Gly". Lineage: Eukaryota; Metazoa; Chordata; Mammalia; Rodentia; Muridae. The record is from RNAcentral.